GUCGAUCCAGCCCACCUACCACCAGUAACUCCAAAAUUUAGGAUAACUCAUAUUCAGAUAGCUAUUGGAAGGCACGUUACACCAAAAUGUCCAGACCGAUCAUUGCCUCAGCCAACUGUUGUGCGGUGCUGAAAUUAAUCACAAUGGUGCAGGGAGACCCACAUAACCCCUACCCUUUCGAAACCAUGCACCCUAAAGAGAGAUUAUGUAAGACUGUUCAUCUGAAGUAGAGGUAUACGAGCAUCUGUCAUUUGGAGACAAGCCACACCUCACCAAGUGUCAAGAGAGUUCGUGAAAGAAUAUAUAAAUGCAGAGAGGAGUGGGUGGUGGCUUUCUCAGAUUUAAAAGCUCUUCAUCAUAACCUAUUUAUCAACAGUUGCUCAUGUUUCCAAAGUAGUGAAGUCAACAUAAAGGAAGCCCACCCCUUUAUAUUUGUUUUUUCCCUGCUUUGGUUAUCCAUAGUUGUCACACAUAAGAUCUCCCCAUCUGCUUUGUUGCGUGAGCUGGGAGACAAGAGAUGUGAUAUUUUGUGAUGUGGAAGUAACGCAAGCCCCAACUGCACAAGACUGCACUCCGUUUGGUACUGCACUCCAUCCAAAACACCACGGUCACCAUUUCUCACCAUUUGUUCCCACGUUUGUCCCGCUCCUGGCCUUGGGUUUUGGUUGUAUUGCAUGUGGGAGGUGACUGAGGGCUUUCUUCCGGUAGCAGUGCGAGAAACACACAAUUAGAAAUGUCGAGCUACCCCUUUCCAUCUCAUCACAUUUAACUUUGAACGGUGCCUUUAUUUCUAUAAAAGGCUACCAUAGCCCUCAAACAUGCACCACCACUGGACUGCAUUACACUUCCAUUCCCUUUGCUCUGAGAGACCUACCGGCCAAAUCUGCCAUGCCUUUUGCUCCAUCCUCCCGCGCCUUUCUUCUGUUUGCUCCUUACUUUACCUAUUUGCGCUGCUUGAGAUGGAGAGCUUCUUUGUGUUUGUCUUCUAGCGUUGGGUGGUACAAGAAGAGGUGGAAGGAUUACACCAUAAGCCGUGCUACAUAUGGUUGGUGCUAUCUUUGCUGAGCUUCUCUCUCUCUUUUCCAUCCUUCAUCAUCCAUUUUUCUUCUUGUAAGGUUUUUUCUUGACCUUGCAAGACUUUCUGAGAAAAAGAUUAUGAUUAUGGCCGCUCUCUAUUCCGUUUCAACUAAUGGUCAUCAUCUAUAUUCUUGUCAAUCCUUCCACCUUCUCUUUUCUUGUCUAUCCCUCCAGAGCUUAGUUUGAUCACAUGUAAUCGCUUAUGUAUUUGAAUUUAUGCAAGCUUAAAAACUAGGUGAGACUUCGCUGUAUGCCAAGUAGUUAUGUAUUUUGAUGCUAUGUUUUGAUUUCAAUGUAGAAUGUAUUCUCUAUUUUCCUUUUUUUUAUUUGGCUAUCUUGCUGAGCGAUAGCUGCAAGGAUGACAUUCUACGUUUGAUUGUUGCUGCAUUUGUAAAUGAGUUAGGCUGCUGCUCUUUUUGUGUGUGUCUGUUGGCAUGUUGAGUUUCUUCUUAACCACGCAAAAUUAAAACCCAGCCCUUCUGCACACCCUUUCUAAAUGAAAAAAGUGGACGGUCUCGUUCCAUGUUACAGCUCUUGCAGAGGUAAAAAAUGAAAGGUUUAAUCAGAGCGUAUCACUCCGAUGCAUUUCAGUCCCAUCGAACUACUGGGAUCCAAAUUGCUUUUGUAUUCACAAGUGUGAAGGGCUCCAUUGGGGUCUGAAUGCUGUGGUUGAUCUCUGCACCUAGAAAGGCUAUGGACACCCACAAAAGGGCCCAUAACAAGGAGCCAGACCUUCAUGGACUGAACAGCCCGUUGAAAGCUUAACCGAGUCGGGUUCCAGUUCUAAAGCUCCUUUUCCUAGUGCUGUCCAUCAUUGCUCAGAAGUCACAGCACAGGGGUUCACCCUAAUUUUUUUCCAUACUAAUGCUACAGGACCAGGAGAGAACCCACAAUUUGGACCACCAAUUGCAAGAUACCCAUGGUUGGUGAAACGAGUUAAGCGAUCAAUGAAACUAAACUCUCUCGAACAGG
RNAcentral lists this long non-coding RNA (2049 nucleotides) under Elaeis guineensis (African oil palm). RNAcentral describes it as "long non-coding RNA (EGUI_LNC005596)". The record is from RNAcentral. Lineage: Eukaryota; Viridiplantae; Streptophyta; Magnoliopsida; Arecales; Arecaceae.